RNAcentral lists this ribosomal RNA (253 nucleotides) under uncultured bacterium. Its description in RNAcentral is "partial 16S ribosomal RNA". It matches the Rfam family "Bacterial small subunit ribosomal RNA", at positions 524 to 776 of the family's 1533-position model. The record is from RNAcentral.
UACGGAGGGUGCAAGCGUUAAUCGGAAUUACUGGGCGUAAAGCGCACGCAGGUGGCUGAGUAAGUCGAUUGUGAAAGCCCUGGGCUUAACCUGGGAAUUGCAGUCGAUACUGCUCGGCUAGAGUAUGGGAGAGGGUAGUGGAAUUCCCGGUGUAGCGGUGAAAUGCGUAGAUAUCAGGAGGAACACCCGUGGCGAAGGCGGCUCUCUGGGACGGUACUGACGCUGAGACACGAAAGCGUGGGUAGCAAACAGG